RNAcentral lists this ribosomal RNA (382 nucleotides) under uncultured eukaryote. RNAcentral's name for it is "partial 18S ribosomal RNA". It matches the Rfam family "Eukaryotic small subunit ribosomal RNA", at positions 592 to 976 of the family's 1831-position model. The record is from RNAcentral.
UGUAAGCGUAUACCAAAGUUGUUGCAGUUAAAACGCUCGUAGUCGGAAUUUGGCAGUUCCGGAUGUGUGCACGUCGUGUGCGCACUUCGCGGGGAUUGCUUUUGUGGUCUUGCGUAGGAUGAGGCACUUUUAUUAGUGAACGUCCUCACGCAACCACUUUUUACUGUGAGAAAAUCGGAGUGCUCAAAGCAGGCAUUUGCCGUGAAUGUAUUAGCAUGGAAUAAUAGAAUAGGACUUGGUUCUAUUUUGUUGGUUUGUUGGGACUGAGUAAUGAUUAAGAGGGACAGUUGGGGGCAUUUGUAUUUCGGUGCUAGAGGUGAAAUUCUUAGAUUACCGAAAGACAAACUGCUGCGAAAGCGUCUGCCAAGGAUGUUUUCAUUGA